Molecule: long non-coding RNA, 134 nt
Organism: Haliotis rubra (blacklip abalone)
Lineage: Eukaryota; Metazoa; Mollusca; Gastropoda; Lepetellida; Haliotidae
Exons: 3
Source: RefSeq, a predicted model, not a curated record
AUUGUAUAACUCAGUUGUCAGCAAGCCUGCUUUGUGACACAGACCUUAAAAUGAUUGAGUGAGUGAAUUUAGUUUUACGCCGCACUCAGCAAUAUUCCAGCUACAUGGCGGCGGUCUGUAAAUAAUCGAGUCUG